Molecule: ribosomal RNA, 406 nt
Filed under: uncultured bacterium
Lineage: Bacteria
Description: bacterial SSU rRNA
Rfam family: Bacterial small subunit ribosomal RNA
Source: RNAcentral
GAUGAACGCUAGCGGCAGGCCUAAUACAUGCAAGUCAAGGGGAUCGCAAGAUCACCGGCGGACGGGUGCGUAACGCGUACACAACGUACCCUUGAGCGGGGGAUAGCAUUGGGAAACUGGUGGUAAAACCCCAUGGUGUUGGAAAUCGUGGCAUCACAAACCAACUAAAGGAUACACUCAAGGAUCGGUGUGCGUCUGAUUAGCUAGUUGGCGGGGUAACGGCCCACCAAGGCGACGAUCAGUAGGGGGUGUGAGAGCAUGGCCCCCCANAUGGGUACUGAGACACGGACCCAACUCCUACGGGAGGCAGCAGUAAGGAAUAUUGGACAAUGGUCGGAAGACUGAUCCAGCCAUGCCGACGUGAAGGACGAAGGCGCUCAGCGUUGUAAACUUCUUUUGGACGGGG